AUUGAACGCUGGCGGCAGGCCUAACACAUGCAAGUCGAGCGAGCGGCGGACGGGUGAGUAAUGUAUGGGGAACUGCCUGAUGGAGGGGGAUAACUACUGGAUACGGUAGCUACUACCGCAUACCAUCAGAUGCACCCAUAUGGGAAUAGCUUGUCGGUGGGGUAACGGCUCACCUAGGCGACGAUCCCUAGCUGGUCUGAGAGUAUGACCAGCCACACUGGGACUGAGACACGGCCCAGACUCCUACGGGAGGCAGCAGUGGGGAAUAUUGCACAAUGGGCGCAAGCCUGAUACAGCCAUGCCGCGUGUAUGAAGAAGGCCUUCGGGUUGUAAAGUACUUUCAGUCGGGAGGCGUUACCGACAGAAGAAGCACCGGCUAACUCCGUGCCAGCAGCCGCGGUAAUAC
This 406-nucleotide ribosomal RNA is filed under the name uncultured bacterium. RNAcentral's name for it is "partial 16S ribosomal RNA". It matches the Rfam family "Bacterial small subunit ribosomal RNA", at positions 30 to 526 of the family's 1533-position model. The record is from RNAcentral.